Molecule: unclassified non-coding RNA, 359 nt
Filed under: Hevea brasiliensis (rubber tree)
Lineage: Eukaryota; Viridiplantae; Streptophyta; Magnoliopsida; Malpighiales; Euphorbiaceae
Source: RNAcentral
UCUUCCCAGAUUGGUCAAAGCUGGAGAUGAUGGUAAUUGUGGAUCUGCUGCUGUUUGUGACACAAUGUGCUUGCAGGCAAUGUCAAGGAGAAUCCACUAUGGAAAAUUUGUGGCUGAGGCUAAAUUCCUAGAAUCCCCUGCUGAAUAUGAGGCUGCUAUUACAAAGCAAGAUAGCAGAAAACUCAUGGAGAUGCUGACAUAUGAAUCUGUGGAAGCAGCAGUCAAGAAGAGAGUAGAAAUGAAAGCAAAAACAUUCGGCCAAGACAUAAUAAUUAACCCACAGGAAGAAGAAGCUGAGCCCAUAUAUAAAGUGAAGCCAAGUUUGCUUGUCAAUCUGUAUGGCGACUGGAUCAUGCCCC